UCCCUGGUGGUCCAGUGGUCAGGACUCUGAGCUUUCACUGCUGAGGACGCUGGUUCAAUCCCUGGUCAGGGAA
Non-coding RNA from Bos taurus (domestic cattle), 73 nucleotides. NCBI's taxonomy places the organism in Eukaryota, Metazoa, Chordata, Mammalia, Artiodactyla, Bovidae. The record is from Rfam.